GAUGAACGCUGGCGGCGUGCCUAAUACAUGCAAGUCGAGCGAACGGACGAGAAGCUUGCUUCUCUGACGUUAGCGGCGGACGGGUGAGUAACACGUGGAUAACCUACCUAUAAGACUGGGAUAACUUCGGGAAACCGGAGCUAAUACCGGAUAAUAUUUUGAACCGCAUGGUUCAAAAGUGAAAGACGGUCUUGCUGUCACUUAUAGAUGGAUCCGCGCUGCAUUAGCUAGUUGGUAAGGUAACGGCUUACCAAGGCAACGAUGCAUAGCCGACCUGAGAGGGUGAUCGGCCACACUGGAACUGAGACACGGUCCAGACUCCUACGGGAGGCAGCAGUAGGGAAUCUUCCGCCAUGGGCGAAAGCCUGACGGAGCAACGCCGCGUGAGUGAUGAAGGUCUUCGGAUCGUAAAACUCUGUUAUUAGGGAAGAACAUAUGUGUAAGUAACUGUGCACAUCUUGACGGUACCUAAUCAGAAAGCCACGGCUAACUACGUG
RNAcentral lists this ribosomal RNA (497 nucleotides) under uncultured bacterium. RNAcentral describes it as "partial 16S ribosomal RNA". It matches the Rfam family "Bacterial small subunit ribosomal RNA", at positions 28 to 507 of the family's 1533-position model. The record is from RNAcentral.